CCCAUGCGCGCAUCGGGUCAGCUCUCUCAGACUUGACGAGCGAAGCAGUCAGAUCGGGUGGCUUCUCAACGACGGUGACUACUGAGGUAGCCCAAUUGGCUGAAGUUAAACCGUGGUCGGUUCAUGUCUGCUGGACAGGUCACCUGCAGAUUUGGAGUCUUUCAUAGCCCCGCUGUACUUCUCACCAGUAUAAGCUGAUCAGACCAUGUUGGCUGGCCUGUGUUACAACCACUGUGUCCACAGUCCAGCCAGGAGAAAAGCUGAUGACACAAAUCAGUACAGCAAGGUGUACUACAAAAAAGUCCAGGAAUUGGAGCUUGUACUCAUUGAAGGUGGAGAAGGACUACAGUUACAUCGCAGACCUCCACAGUGCCAUCCUCCUCCGACUGUUGUUUACUACUGAGGAGCUGCCUAGAAGCAGAACCAGGAGACCUGAUGAUCCCCGUCAACAUGGGGAUCAGUCAGGUGUCCCUGCCCCAACUGUGUUGCUAAAUACAGCAAAACGUACAACAAAAAGUAAUAUGGUUGGUUUUGAAAUGUGGUAAUCAAGUCAGAGAGGUGAUUGUGAUAUAUUUAAUCAUCUCCACAGAAGCGAUACGAUGCUACGAGUAAAGUCUGAACUAUCUUCAUGAUCAGUCAAGAUACAUCUGGACACACCUUGUUUAAAAUUAUCUAUUUGUGAUGUAGGUUGUAGUUUUA
Molecule: long non-coding RNA, 699 nt
Organism: Micropterus dolomieu (smallmouth bass)
Lineage: Eukaryota; Metazoa; Chordata; Actinopteri; Centrarchiformes; Centrarchidae
Exons: 3
Source: RefSeq, a predicted model, not a curated record